AAUUUACCGUGGAGUUUCUUUAUAUGAACAGUUCCUUGUGCAUUUAAAAUAUGAUUCAGUGUACAAAAGUCUGAAUCACACAUCACAUUCCAGAAACAUUUUCAUUAUGUCUUUUAGGUGAGAUCGCUCUGUAAAACCCUUAGCACAAUACCCAGUAGGUAAGUACUCAAUAAAUGAUCUAGAUCUGUAAUUAUGCCGCAUAAGUUUCAUGUACGUAUUAUAUGUAGUAAUUAAAAAGGGGCACUUCUGAAUCUUUUAGAGACAAGGAUCUCAGAUGUGAACAUGAUUAAGAGUCAUCGGGGGCCCUUACUAAAAUUGCAAAUCUUUGAUCUCCACCCGAAAAUCAUCAGGUUCUGUAGUUCUGCCCGGUGGCCAGCAAGUUGAAUAGGCUCUGCUGCAGUCUAGUUCAUUGGAAUGUGGCUGGCUAAGUACGGUUUUGAGGACUUCUCCCAUAUCAGAGGGUCCGAGGACAGGCUCUACGGAGCAGG
Mustela erminea (ermine) is the source of this 488-nucleotide long non-coding RNA. RefSeq lists it as uncharacterized. The transcript is spliced from 3 exons. The record is from RefSeq and is a predicted model, not a curated record. Lineage: Eukaryota; Metazoa; Chordata; Mammalia; Carnivora; Mustelidae.